UACGGGGGGUGCAAGCGUUGUCCGGAUUUAUUGGGCGUAAAGAGCGUGUAGGCGGCCAGACAGGUCCGUUGUGAAAACUCGAGGCUCAACCUCGAGAUGUCGAUGGAAACCGUCUGGCUAGAGUCCGGAAGAGGAGUGUGGAAUUCCUGGUGUAGCGGUGAAAUGCGCAGAUAUCAGGAAGAACACCUAUGGCGAAGGCAGCACUCUGGGACGGUACUGACGCUGAGACGCGAAAGCGUGGGGAGCGAACAGG
Molecule: ribosomal RNA, 253 nt
Filed under: uncultured bacterium
Lineage: Bacteria
Description: partial 16S ribosomal RNA
Rfam family: Bacterial small subunit ribosomal RNA
Source: RNAcentral